Molecule: long non-coding RNA, 525 nt
Filed under: Triticum aestivum (bread wheat)
Lineage: Eukaryota; Viridiplantae; Streptophyta; Magnoliopsida; Poales; Poaceae
Description: long non-coding RNA (TAES_LNC027640)
Source: RNAcentral
AAUAAACAAAGCAGGAUCAAAAGAGGCACCACACCAGGCUAUUCACACUUACGUCGCAAUUGCUUUUGCCGCUAGCAUCUUCGGUCACGACCAUAGCACCAGAAUGCACUUCAUUUAUUAUUAUCACAAAAAGGACGUAUACACCAACCACACUAUACAUUUUUUUCCACAAAGAAUCACUAUAUACAUGUUCCUCCAAAUGUUUACAUCCUCUAGAACUUUCUUCCCUCUCAUCCUGAUGCAUCCCACCCUCUCCAGCACUUGUCUCCUCAGCCCUGGGUACUCUUCUCCUACAUAGCAGUUGUACAGAAGCAAGGUAUUCACUCGGGAAAAAAAAUAUAUUUCAACCAAGUAGAUGCAGAUGAAUAUGAUCGAGUGGGAGAAGAAUCAAGAACUUAUAUUUAUACCAUGAGGUCUAUGAAAAAUAAUAAACUCGCUGAGGAGAAGAAACAUGAUGUCAUUGCGUUGCUUUCGAACCACCGGGACAAAGUGGACAACAUCACGACCGUGUCAUUGACAAUAGCC